AAGUAGAUACGACGGAGACGUAUCAGACACUGACAAGACUCGAUCUAGGUCGAUACUGGAGUUAUCACAUUUGUACCAAUACAAUUAUGCACUUGUCAUGACCAGGCCAUAACCUAUCACGUUCCGGUGACUAGGUUAUCCACGACCUCUCACAACCAUCACUUGCCAUAGUCAUGUUUUUAACAUUAUUUUAAGAUAUGCAAUAUGCUUGAAUAAUGAAAUGGAUGGAUAUUAAUUUUUUGUUAGCGAGCAAACAACACAUCAAGAGUUCAAACAUGUUUGCCUGGUUCCACGUAGGCGGGAUCAAGAUCGGUGAAGUUAACGUCGGCAUUUCCUUCGUUGGAAUUUACGUCAUAUAACAUGUACCGUCGUAAUAGUUGAGUCCUAGCUAAUGGCUCCAAAUAUUUUUUAAAUAAAUUUGAAAAUAAACUAGACCCUCAAAGCAAGGUUUUUCAAAAAGAGUCAAUUCAAACACUAUUGUAGUUUUAAAGUUAUAAGAAAAACAAGUUCAGGCACUGAUCUGUAAUGAAACGGAAUUUGUCCAGGGGCUAGUUUGAGAAACUCAAAGCGCCCGAAAGAGAAUACGUUAACUAGCUUCGAAGAUGGCUCCUGGCGAAGGCGCGUUCAAGGGAAAACGUCUCAAAAAAAAAGAACAGAACCCUGACAAGGGGGUCCACCGUGUCAGGUUCGAAUCAACCGACGCCAGAUGCAUUGCACUGAUCGCCGGCGACGAUCGAUGGAGGGAGAGAGCCAACCGAGGGCACCUACGUACGCACUGUGUUCCUGCGCUUCGGUGAGAGGUGGAUGGGGUCGAGGGGGCUCUGCGUCGAUGGCGACCUUGCUCCGACGGAUGACAACUUCGGGCACCUCCGGAAUCUCACCGAGGGACUUGCCUUCGAUCAAAUCGGAGGGGAGCUCAAGAUGAGGAGGUCACCAUGAAGCUUCUGAACGCCUCAGGGGCUCCUACUUCGACUCAUCUUGCUUGAAUCCAAUUGGAACCCGAAGCGGAUCGGGGCGGCGGAGCUGGGGAAGAAGGCCCCUCCGAGGCCCUCCUCUGGCUUGGGCAAGGUUUCGGAGUGGGGGUGGAGUGUUGUGAGGUGAGUGAUGGGCUCGACAGCUCGGAGGGGAUCUAUUUAUAGAGGCCCGACAGAGGUGUCAUGGGUCAUAACUCCGACGAGCAAUUCUGUUGAUCUAGGGGUUAGGCAGGUGGUUAGGUGGUUCGGCUCAUACCUACUCAUCGAGGGGAAUCCAUUUUUGGCCUAAAGCAGUUCAGUCAUCGAAGGAGGACUCGGGUCGACGGAGCGGUGCUUCUUGUGCACUGCGGCAGCAAAGUUCAUGCUCUGUGCUGCCCGGUGCGUGGUGACGACAAUUGCGGGGCGAGCUGGGUCCAAGGACACGCGGCGGCUUGAGGUGCGAGGGGCGGUGUCGGUCGGUGCGGUGCUGCAGCAAGGGCAUCGCUGGUGGUCGUGGCAGCCGCUACAGGUGCUGCUGCCGGAGCUUGGCCAGCUCGGCCAGCUCACCACUGACGCUAGCAAGCGUCCAAGGGAGUGCGCAACGUGUGGAUAAGCUUGGGCACAUGAUCGAGCAGUUCUAGCAUCGCCACUGUGGUGAUUGUCAGUGAACUGAAUCUCUGAACCUUUGACUGAAUCAGUUUCAGAGUUUGACAGUGGCAACAGUGCAGGCUAGGUGUUUGAUUAAAUGAAAAUGGCACGUGCACAAAAUAUUUUGAGCUGAAAACUUUCGGGGUGGUCUCUCAUUAGGUGAAAAGACUGCCCACAAUUUUUCAGAAUUUUUUAAACUGUUUUGGUCAAGUUUUUAACAAAAACAGAGUCUUUUGGGUCAAACUUGAGUCAAAUGAAAUUUGAAAUUUUCAAACUUGUGACUCCAAAGUUUUUAGUGAAGUAGGUUGAGGGUACUAAGGUCUUCUAAGAGUAGGAGUUUGGAUCCUAAACUCCACAGGGAUCAGUGAGUUCCUUUGUAAAUUUGUAGGGUCAAAAGUGAUUACAAAAAAUUCUUUUAUUAAAAAUAAACUAUGAAAGGUGGUCCAACCUUUCUAAAGUUUUGGUAAAUAAAUAAAAAAGAAUACCUAGAUGUUGUAGAAUUGCAAAAAGGUCUAAAACAUGAUAGAGGAAAAGGAAACCUUGAGGUAAAAACAAUAAUUGAACCUAUAGGAAUAAAUUCCUAGGUUUUGCAAAAGUAAUAAAAUAUUUUCCCAAACCAAUUCAUUUAGAGAAGAGGUCAAAAGAUCACUAUUCUAAACGAGGCAGGUUGAGAAAGAAGCACUAAAAAGUUUUCUUAAAGAGAUUGUCAAAGAGCUUCUACGUUUUUAUAAAAGCCAACUAAAAAUCCAUAAAAAAUGGCUAAAAAUCAAGAAAUCAAAUUUAGAAAUUUUGGGUGUUAAGAAAAAUCUCGUCCCCAAGAUUUCAGCGAGCCCUCAAGAAGUUGCGCUUGCUCUUUGUGCCGGAAAUCCUCUCUUUCCCAAUUGGCCUCAUCCUCUUAAUGGUUGCUCCACUGUACCCUGAAUAGUUUGGUGACCUUCUGUCGUGUCCGGCUUUCUGCCUCCUCUAAUAUUCGCACGGGGUGUUCCUGAUAGGAUAGGUCUGGUUGUACUUCUAUACUGUCAUGGGCUACCUGUUGAUCGGGGUUCCUUACACACUUCCUUAGUUGAGAAAGAUGGAACACGUCAUGCACAUCUCACAGUUCCGCGGGUAGAUCCAUUUGGUAGGCAACUUGGCCUCUUCGAGCAAUUAUGCGAAAUGGUUCGAUUGAGCGGGGCGCAAACUUGCCCUUGACCUUGAACCUUUGUAGUCCUCUCAUGGGUGAUACCUUUAGAUAUACAUAAUCAUUUGGGUUGAAGCCGACAUCACGGUGUUUUUUAUCGUAAUAGCUCUGCUGACGGCUUUGGGCUGUCUUGAGUUUGUCCCUUAUGAGUUUUACCUUGUCCUCUGCCUCUUGAAGUAGUUGCGGGCUGAAAAUACGGCUAUCUCCGGUUUCUAACCAAUAUAGAGGCGUACGAAAUAUUCUUCCAUAUAAGGCUUCAAAAGGUGACAUUUUUAAGCUUGCGCGAUAACUGUUGUGGUAUGAGAAUUCGGCAUAAGGAAAAUUGUCCUCCCAACUGUUUCCAUAUGUGAGCACACAAACCAUGAGCAUUUCUUCGCAAAUCUGAUUUACACAUUCGGUCUGUCCUCUAGUUUGAGGGUGAUAUGCUGUGCUGAACACUAACUGGGUGCCCAAAGCUUGUUGCAAAUAAUCCCAAAACCUUGAUGUAAACCGGGUGCCUCUAUCGGAUACAAUAGUUUAGGUAUCCCAUGUAAGCAGACAAUACGAGCGAGGUAUAACUUUGCUAGCUUCUGAGUGGAGGACGUAGUCUUUAUUGGAAUAAAGUGAGCCACCUUUGUGAUUCGAUAUGUGAUAACCCAUAUAGCAUCAUGUCCGUGUCGUGACUGGGUAGUCCGACAAUGAAGGCCAUGCCUACCUCAUCCCACUUCCACUCGGGUACCUUCAUAGGUUGUAACAGUCAUGCUGGCUUUUGGAGUUCCGCCUUGAUUCGUUGGCAUGAAUCACAACGGGCAAUGAAAGAGGCAAUAUCUAUUUUCAUUCCGUGACACGAAUAUUUUGUCUGUAUAUCCUUGAACAUUUUUGUACCUCCGGGGUGGAUUGAGUAGGGCACAUUGUGAGCUUCUUCCAAAAUUUGAGUUUUGAGGUCCUCUUGGUCUGGUACGCACGGUCGGUCUCUGUACCAUAAUAUCCCGUGUUCAUCAAUAAUAAAUUUGGGGGCUUUUCCAAGGUUCACCUUUUUCUUUAUGCCUUCAAUGCUGGGGUGCUCCUUAUGAGCCUUCUUGAUAUUCUCGUCCGUAGUGGGUUGUACUUCUAGUUGUGCCACGGUGCCUUGUGGAAUGAGGAGCAGGUUUAGCAGAGCGAACUCUUUCGCAAUCUCAUGUCUUAGCUUUCGUAUAGGGCCCUUGUCUGAGGUGGGGUUCCCGCUAAGAGCAUCGGCUACCACGUUAGCCUUACCAAUAUGGUAAUGAAUUCCCACAUCAUAAUCUUUAAUUAACUCCAACUAACACCGUUGUCGUAGGUUGAGAUCUGGCUGCGUGAAGAUAUAUUUGAGACUCUUAUGAUCCGUGUAUGUUUCGCAGUGAUUUCCAUGGAUAAAGUGCCUCCAUUCCUUGAGAGCAUGUAUCACGGCGGCCAACUCCAAAUCGUGAGUGGGAUAAUUUUCUUCGUGUCGCCGUAGUUGUCGUGAGGCGUAAGCCAUGACCUUCCCUUCCUGCAUAAGUACGCAUCCGAGGCCUUUCCUUGAGGCAUCACAGUAUACUUCAAUUUUUUUGUUUAAGUCUGGAACAAUCAACACGGGUGUCGUGGUCAGUCUCUUCUUCAGCUCAAACAAAACUAUUCCCACAUGCUUCAAUCCAUUCAAACUUGUUUUCCUUUUUGAGUAGUUGGGUCAUGGGCUUGGCAACAGUGGAAUUUUUUCAAUAAAUCUCUAGUAGUCUCCCACCAUUCCGAGGAAACUUUGGAUGUCUUUCACGCUGGUUGGUUGCGGCCAUUCACUUACAGCCUUGAUCUUCUUAGGAUCCACAGCUAUGCCUUCUUGGGUCAUUACAUGUCCCAAAAAUCCAACUUGCUUCAGCCAAAGCUCACAUUUGCUGAACUUGGCAUACAAUUGAUGUUUACGCAGCUCUUCCAACACAAUUCUUAGGUGUUCCGCAUGUUCUUUGGGGUUCUUGGAGUAGACAAGUAUGUCGUCGAUGACGACUACGACAAACUUAUCCAUGUACUUCAUGAGUACCUUAUUCAUUAAAUGCACAAAGUAAGCUGGUGCGUUUGUUAGUCCUAAAGGCAUUACCGUAAACUCAUACAAUCCGUAUCGUGACGUAAAUGUUGUCUUCGGAAUGUCUUCAUAAAGUAUCUUAUAUGAUAUCCUGACCGCAAAUCGAUCUUCGAGAAUACCAUUGCUUGUGUUAACUGAUCAAACAACUCAUUUAUCCUGGGUAGUGGAUACUUGUUCUUGAUGAUGGCCAUGUUAACGGCUCAAUAAUCAAUACAAAGUCUUAGCAUCCCAUCUCUCUUUUUGGCAAAUAAUACUGGCGAUCCCGAGGGCGAAGAGUUGGGUCUAAUGUAUCCUUUGUCCAAAAGCUCUUUUAUUUGCUUCUUGAGUUCGACUAACUCAGUAGAUGCCAUGCGGUACAGCUUUUUGUAUAUUGGGGUGGUACCAGGUGCAAGUUCAAUGAAAAAUUCUAUUUCUCGGUAUGGUUGCAUGCCUCGUAGUUCGUUAGGAAAUACAUCCGGUAAUUCACAUACCACUGGGAUGUCCUUCAUCUCAAUAGCUUCCAUGUGAUUAAGUCAUGCUUGGUUUGACUUCUCCUUUUCUAAGGCUGCAACUUUUACCCUUUUACCCUGAUGGUGGGUGAGUGUGACUGUUCGGUUGAAGCACUCAACAAAUCCCUUGUUGGUAUUUAGCCAGUCCAUUCCCACACAACAUCCAAAUUGCUGCUUUCGAUCACAAUGAGAUUUGCCCAAAACGCCAAGUCUUUGAUCUCAAUAGUAACAUAUUGGCAAUAUUUUUGUGUAACCUGUUGUACUCCCGGGGACUUGAUGGUCAUCGAAUUUUCCAAGGGGGGGGUUGAAAAGUUAUUUUUUGAAACAAAUUUUUCCAAAAUGAACGAAUGGGAAGCUCUAGAAUCAAACAAAACCAUGACAUGAAUUUUGUUGACAGGAAACUUACCGAGCACUAUUUCUGGCGCGUUCAUAGCAUCUUCUUUGGCGACGAGAUUCACGUGACCCUUCCUGUGAUUGUUGUUGGGGUUGAAGUUGAUGCGCUUUGGUGCUGGGUCAAAGCUGGAAAGGUUGGUUUUAGUUGCACCAUUUCCGGCCUUUGGGCACUGUCGGGCGAAGUGUCCAGCCUCUCCGCAGGCGAAACAUGUGAUAUCGGGGCAUGGAGUAAAAUCCUUGUUCCUCGCAUAAAACUGGGUGUUGACUUUAGUUGUUGAAGUUCGAGUACGAGGAGUUUGAUUCUUUGUGUCCUCAGCCUUGUGCUUGAUGUUGCGCGCUGGUGUCGAGUUGUUAUGACGAUGUUUACGAAUGUCAUCCAAGCUGCGACGUUCGGCCUCUAGCAUGUUGGCCUUAUCCAGAAGUGUUUUGAAGUCUGGAAAUGUAUGAAUGACUAGAUGGCAUUUUAAUGCCGGAGCGAGUCCAUCCAGGAAUUUCUCCAUUUUUUCUCUUCAGUCUUAUAAUCUUCACUUGCAUAACGGGAUAAUUUAUUAUACUGGUCCAGAUAUUCCAUUACAGUGGAACUCCCUUGUUUGAGGUCUUCGAAUUCCCUCUUCUUGAUUUUCAUGACGCUCUUGGGAAUUGUGUCCCACGAAAACUCUCUUUGAAUUCAGCCCACGUGAUGUUGUUCUCGUCAGGAUGUACAUGGAGGAUAUUUCCCACCACGAGGUUGCGGCUCCAAUCAGAUAGUGAGGUUUGUCGGUGUGCGAAAAGUUGGCGGACGUGUCUUUUGUAAUUCAACCGAUCUGGAGUGCGUGGGUGUGGUCCACACUGAUUCCCCAUAUUCAUUAGUUGGUUCAUCAUCUCGUGAUGUUGUUGCUAGCUUUGCUCAUACAAACGACAAACCUCUGAAAAUGCUGGGUCGCUCUCGUGUCGGCCUGACUGUCCCUGAGUGAAAUCAUUCCAUGUCUCAGCAAAUUGAUUUUCUCCCUACAUUCUUGGCAUGGAGCGUGUCCACGGACGACUCAUUUUCUCAAAGCUGGGUUAAUGUCGCAAAAACCAAAUGAGAAAUUCAAGUUCAAGGGAGAAUAGAAUUUAAAAAAUUUAUACAAGGAAAUACUAUGAAAAGUAUUUUCAUUAACCGUCACGUUCGGAGAAGGACUGCGAUACAUCUUACAUCACACAUAAUUAUACAUAUCACUCAGGUCGCACUCUCGUAUGCCUGACAUGUUAUUUAAGCUAGUGCACUUCUCCUGGUCCUACAUGACGCAACACGACUACUUCCCUUCAGUCUAGGAGCACAUCAUCAUACAUAUCAUACAUACCACACAAGCGUACUAGCGAUCAGCUGUACCAUCUCUAGGUGGAGUCGGAAGGGACCUGGAUUGGCUGACCCAGGGAUAGUCCCAGAUGAGGAGCUGGGGAGUCCACUUCCUCUAGCACGGGCUCUAGGCGGACCGCACGAGACGGCGAAGCACGAAAUGGACUAGCAGGCAUAGCAACUCUAAUGGGGGCAAGAGCAAUGACUUGAUUGAACUCUUCAAUCGAAGAUAGCUGAUGACGAAGCUGAGCUGGUGGAGUGCAUGAGGCAAAAGAAGAUGGGCAUGACCUAGGUGGUGUGGGAUGAAGGAGCUCAGUCCUGUUGUGAGGACGAGUAAUGGUCUCCAUGCGAGCAGCCAACAAGUCAUUGGUUUACAUGAAGAGGGAGAAUGCUAGCAGCUGGAAUUCU
This is a long non-coding RNA of Hordeum vulgare subsp. vulgare (domesticated barley), 7441 nucleotides long. RefSeq lists it as uncharacterized. The record is from RefSeq and is a predicted model, not a curated record. NCBI's taxonomy places the organism in Eukaryota, Viridiplantae, Streptophyta, Magnoliopsida, Poales, Poaceae. The transcript is spliced from 3 exons.